GCCAAUCGGUACACAAGGCUGCAC
This 24-nucleotide non-coding RNA is filed under the name Rattus norvegicus (Norway rat). The record is from RNAcentral. Lineage: Eukaryota; Metazoa; Chordata; Mammalia; Rodentia; Muridae.